RNAcentral lists this ribosomal RNA (347 nucleotides) under uncultured bacterium. RNAcentral describes it as "partial 16S ribosomal RNA". It matches the Rfam family "Bacterial small subunit ribosomal RNA", at positions 338 to 682 of the family's 1533-position model. The record is from RNAcentral.
CCUACGGGUGGCAGCAGUGAGGAAUAUUGGUCAAUGGACGAGAGUCUGAACCAGCCAAGUAGCGUGAAGGAUGAAUGCCCUAUGGGUUGUAAACUGCUUUUAUAGGGGAAUAAAAUGUUCCACGUGUGGGAUUCUGUAGGUACCAUAUGAAUAAGGGUAGGCUAACUCCGUGCCAGCAGCCGCGGUAACACGGAGGUGCCGGGCGUUAUCCGGAUUUAUUGGGGUUAAAGGGAGCGUAGGUGGUUUUUUAAGUCCGUUGUGAAAGUUUGCGGCUCAACCGUAAAAUGGCAGUUGAAACUGGCAGUCUUGAGUACACUACAGGUGGGCGGAAUUCGUGGUGUAGCGGU